GCCCGAUGAACCUGAAUAUCCGUUAUGGAAAAUUCAUCAUUAAAGUUGUAAUAUUUUAACAAUAUUAUAAUAAUAGUGUGCAUUUUUUCCAUAUAAGGACAUUGUAAUCUAUUAGCAUAUACCAAAUUUAUCAUAAAAUAUGGCUUAUAGUUUAUUCAAAUUAUUAUGCUUGCAUUUUAACAUAGAAUAAAUGUCAUUAAUUUGAUAAAGUGUUGAUAAAUUAAAAUUAAUACAGUGCGUUAAUUUUUCGAAAUUAUAUAAUGGCAUAAUUAUCAUUGAUUUUUAUGUUUAUUAUAUGCAUUUGUAUGAUUAACAAUGCGAAAGAUUCAGGAUACUUCGGG
Molecule: ribosomal RNA, 341 nt
Filed under: Drosophila azteca
Lineage: Eukaryota; Metazoa; Arthropoda; Insecta; Diptera; Drosophilidae
Description: eukaryotic LSU rRNA
Source: RNAcentral